Molecule: unclassified non-coding RNA, 219 nt
Filed under: Ambispora leptoticha
Lineage: Eukaryota; Fungi; Glomeromycota; Glomeromycetes; Archaeosporales; Ambisporaceae
Description: partial contains 5.8S ribosomal RNA and internal transcribed spacer 2
Rfam family: 5.8S ribosomal RNA (bases 1-71)
Source: RNAcentral
GUGAAUCAUCAAAUUUUUGAACGCAUAUUGCACUCUCUGGUAUUCCGGAGAGUAUGCCUAUUUGAGGGUCAUUUGAAAUAAUAUAAAUUCCAAGAUUUCUCGGAAUUUAAAAUGGGUUGUCCAUUUUUUGUGGUCUCCAAAAAUCAAGAACAAGCUCUUUUCCUGGGGUUGGUUGUUACUUUCAGUUACCUCGUGACUUAACCAGUAAUAAUCGGCGGU